GUAGCCAAGCUACUAAGGGCUGGCGGUGGAUGCCUCGGGUGCGGGAGGCGAUGAAGGGCGUGGCAAGCUGCGAUAAGCCCCGGGGAGCCGCAAGCAGGCGUUGAUCCGGGGAUGCCCGAAUGGGGAAACCCGGCUGGGGUAAUACCCAGUCAUUCAUGGGUUAAAAGCCCAUGGAGGCGAUACCGGGGGAAGUGAAACAUCUCAGUACCCCGAGGAAAAGAAAUCAACCGAGAUUCCCUGAGUAGCGGCGAGCGAAAGGGGAGGAGCCUAAACCAGACAGGUGUAAAAGCCCGUGGGCGUUGCCUGUCUGGGGUCGUGGGACUACACCGGAGGAGGCCACGGACUCCUCGGGGAGUUACAAAACCGUCUCCUUAGCCGAAGGCGCCUGGAAUGGCCCGCCAGAGAGGGUGAAAGCCCCGUAGGCGAAAAGGAGACGGUCUCCCUGGGUGUAGAUCCCGAGUAGCACGGGACACGUGGAAUCCCGUGUGAAUCAGGGGGGACCACCCUCCAAGGCUAAAUACUACCCGCACACCGAUAGCGCACAAGUACCGUGAGGGAAAGGUGAAAAGAACCCCGGGAGGGGAGUGAAAUAGAACCUGAAACCGCCAGCCUACAAGCGGUCGGAGGGGAGGCUUUGCCUCCCUGACGGCGUGCCUUUUGCAUAAUGAGCCCGGGAGUUACCGUCGGUGGCGAGGUUAAGCCGUUGAGGCGAAGCCGUAGCGAAAGCGAGUCCGAAAAGGGCGUUUAGUCGCCGGCGGUAGACCCGAAGCGGGACGAUCUACCCAUGGCCAGGGUGAAGGUGGGUUAAACCCCACUGGAGGCCCGAACCGGUGGAGGGUGAAAACUCCUCGGAUGAGCUGUGGGUAGGAGUGAAAAGCUAAUCGAGUCCCGUGAUAGCUGGUUCUCCCCGAAAUGCAUUGAGGUGCAGCCUCGGGUGGUCGCUGCCGGGGGUAGAGCACUGUUUGGGCUAGGGGGCUUACCGGCCUACCAAACCCAGGCAAACUCCGAAUACCGGCAAGCGUAGCCCGGGAGUGCGUCCUAGGACGAUAAAGUCCUAAGACGAGAGGGCAAGAGCCCAGACCGCCAGCUAAGGUCCCCAAGUCCUGGCUAAGUGGUAAAGGAGGUGCCCCUGCUUAGACACCCAGGAUGUUGGCUUAGAAGCAGCCAUCAUUUAAAGAGUGCGUAACAGCUCACUGGGCGAGCGGGGGUGCGCCGAAAAUUACACGGGGCUUAAGCCAGGCACCGAAGCUGCGGGCUGAAAGACUUUUAGGUCUUUCAGCGGUAGGGGAGCACUCCGGUUGCCGAUGAAGGUAGUCCGUAAGGGCUACUGGAGGCCCCGGAGGAGAGAAUCCGGGCACGAGUAGCGAUAAGGAGGGUGAGAAUCCCUCCCGCCGUAAGCCCAAGGUUUCCUGGGGAAGGGUCGUCCGCCCAGGGUUAGCCGGUCCCUAACCCGAGGCCGAAAGGCGUAGGGGAUGGGAAGUGGGGUUAAUAUUCCCCCGCCACCAGGAUGGAGGCCAAGGGGUGACGCAGGAGGGAAGGGCUCCGGGGCUAUAUGGUUGGCCCUCCAAACCUCUAGCCCGAUGAUGGACCGAGGUAAAUCCCGGUCCGGAGGGUGAGGGGGAGUAAGUAACCGAGAGCUACGGCUCUCGGGAAGGAGCCCGGACUACACUGCCAAGAAAUAGCCUCGUGGCUGUUGAAGUCCUGGUGACCGUACCGCAAACCGACACAGGUGGGCGGGCAGAGUAUGCUCAGGCGCGUGGGGCAACCCUGGCUAAGGAACUCGGCAAAUUAACCCCGUAACUUCGGGAGAAGGGGUGCCCGUGUGUAGGUGUAGGUCCCUUGUCGGACCUGCGCUGAAGCGGGUCGCAGGGAAGCGGCGGUGGCGACUGUUUACCAAAAACACAGGGCUCUGCUAACUCGUAAGAGGACGUAUAGGGCCUGACGCCUGCCCGGUGCUGGAAGGUGAAGGGGUGGGGUUAGCGGAAGGAUUAUUCUUUCCGCGAAGCUCCGCCCUCAAGCCCCAGUAAACGGCGGCCGUAACUAUAACGGUCCUAAGGUAGCGAAAUUCCUUGUCGGGUAAGUUCCGACCUGCAUGAAUGGCGUAACGACUGCCGCGCUGUCUCAGCCAGGGGCCCAGCGAAACUGUAGUCUCGGCGAAGAUGCCGAGUACCCGCGGUGGGACGGAAAGACCCCGUGGAGCUUUACUGCAGCUUGGCAUUGAUCUUCGGGGUAGGAUGUGCAGGAUAGGUGGGAGGCUAUGAAGCGGGGGCGCCAGCUCCCGUGGAGCCACCGGUGAGAUACCACCCUUCCUGCUCCGGGGAUCUAACCUGCGGGAGUUAUCCUCCCGAGGGACAGUGCCUG
This 2361-nucleotide ribosomal RNA is filed under the name Candidatus Acetothermia bacterium. RNAcentral's name for it is "partial 23S ribosomal RNA". It matches the Rfam family "Bacterial large subunit ribosomal RNA", at positions 1 to 2260 of the family's 2925-position model. The record is from RNAcentral. Lineage: Bacteria; Candidatus Bipolaricaulota.